This 321-nucleotide ribosomal RNA is filed under the name uncultured eukaryote. Its description in RNAcentral is "partial 18S ribosomal RNA". It matches the Rfam family "Eukaryotic small subunit ribosomal RNA", at positions 1470 to 1796 of the family's 1831-position model. The record is from RNAcentral.
CCCUUAGAUGUCCUGGGCCGCACGCGCGCUACACUGACAUGUUCAACAAGCCUCCUAGUUCGACAGGAUUUGGGAAAUCUUUGAACGCAUGUCGUGAUAGGGAUAGAUCAUUGCAAUUAUUGAUCUUGAACGAGGAAUUCCUAGUAAACGCGAGUCAUCAGCUCGCAUUGAUUACGUCCCUGCCCUUUGUACACAUCGCCCGUCGCACCUACCGAUUGAAUGUUUCGGUGAAGAUUCCGGAUAGGACUUUUUUGAUUUAUUUCAAUUCUGUCUUAAAAGCUAUCUAAACCUCAACAUUUAGAGGAAGGUGAAGUCGCAACA